UGGGCAGGGGCGUGUGCUGCCCCAUCAAUGGCACAGUUGGCAUGGCAUGGGACAUGCACGGCCCACGCGGUCUCUGUGUCACAGCACCCAUGGCACCUGGCAUUAAGCCAUGAGCUCCUGCCCCUUUACUCCCGUAAUACAGAGCACAAGGAGGAGACCAGGGCCAUAGGCGCCCUGCUACAGAGCCGAGCUGGGACUGCGGAGUUUGUCCACCUCAGGAAACAGACUGCAGUCUCCAGAGCGUGCCCCUCAGACACGGAAGCUCAGGCGUGAGGGUGUCAGUUAAGUAAAGCCCCGGGCUCUGUCUGGGGUCACAGCCCCAGCUUCAGUAGGAUGGGCUAGGAGGGUGUGGAGGUUUGCCCUUGCCCUGUGCUCUGUGUAGUGGUGUGGGACACUCACAGCAGCCUCUGCCUCUUGCUUCUUCUGCAGGAUGUCGCUGGCCGUGUUCUCUCUCUGCUUUUCCAGUUCCCUUAAAGAAGCAACCACAAGUCACUACAGUGAGCGGACUGCGCCCCCUGCUGGACUGAGCCCAGAGAGCAGCCUGUGAUCUUAACUGACACUUCCAAAACAACCCCAGGCUAGACUAUGCAUCUUCCUUUAGCUUGAGAUGGCCUUCCCUGUCUACCUCCUUGAUGGAGAGUCCUGAACUGCUGUCUCCUUGGGAGACAGCUCAGUUCCCUCUCCAGUGCAGAAGAGACGGAGGUGCGGGAUUUCCAUGUAAAGCUCACCUCUCUUUCUGCGCCCUGAGGUACGGUCUGAUGAUCAACCGAUGAACUGCCAAGUACACGACCAGCGGCCCCACGGUGGCGUAGAACACAGCGCUGGGCAGCAGCUGGUCCGUCAGGUGGAUGGGGAAGAAGUAUGUUUGACUGGCCCUGUUCAGCCUGGGAGGACACAAGAGCAAACCCCACAGGAUGGGUCAGAUCUUCCAGGGAGGAGAGCUGGGGUCUCUUAACAACCAGUCCACCAGGUCCAAGGCUGAGCUGAGUGUGUGUGAUACUUAACUGGUGUCAAAGGCCUCAGAGGAGAGGGAAGCAGUCCCAGAGACAGCCCGUGUCAGUGAGUGAGGUGUUUCAAACAAGUCAAGGACUUCAGAAGGCGCCGGAUUAAACUGGUAAGAUGGAGACUAUGAGGGGCUGCACAGUUGUAACCAUGUUUAUUAGGAAGGCGUCAAGCCUGGCACGGUGAUUCACACCAUUAAGCCCAGCCACGGGGAUGCAGAGGCCUUGGGUCUUUGCGAGUUUGGGAUUGGCAUGGUUUAUCUAAUGAGACCCUGUCUUAAAAAAGAUGGAGAGGACACGCUGCCAGUAGGCAGGUGACAGAAACAGACCAACACUGAGAAAUCUCAGACUUACACACUCCUUGAAACACGGUCAACAAAACAGCAAAGUUAACAGAAGGUGAUAUAGAAAAGGUCUGUUUAUGAAAAAUUAAAUUCAUUUAGAUUUGAGUUCUACCCCCAAGACUCCUAUUGUCCACACAGAUACUUGGAAAUCUGAGCUCUACCACACGCAGGUCAAGGGUGAGGGACGUGUGGCCCACACAGACAGUUCAUGGUAGAGGUGGCUUAGCAGUUAAGACAGGCGUGGAGGUCUUCUUCCAAGUUCAGUUCCCAGCAACCACAGUUGGAGGCUUGGAGCUGCCCAGCUCCAGGGGAUAUGACACCCCUGGCCUCCAAGAAACCUUGUACUCCUAAAUAGAGCCACACUCAUACACAUAAUUAAAAACAAUAAAUCUUUUAAAAGUUCA
Long non-coding RNA from Grammomys surdaster, 1749 nucleotides. RefSeq lists it as uncharacterized. The transcript is spliced from 2 exons. NCBI's taxonomy places the organism in Eukaryota, Metazoa, Chordata, Mammalia, Rodentia, Muridae. The record is from RefSeq and is a predicted model, not a curated record.